CUCAGGAUGAACGCUAGCGGCAGGCUUAACACAUGCAAGUCGAGGGGCAGCGGGAUGUAGCAAUACAUUGCCGGCGACCGGCGGAUGGGUGCGUAACGCGUAUGCAACCUACCUUAUACAGGGGAAUAACCUUUCGAAAGGGAGACUAACACCCCAUAGUAUUGAUUUAAGGCAUCUUAGAUUAAUUAAAUAUUUAUAGGUAUAAGAUGGGCAUGCGUAUGAUUAGCUAGUUGGUAAGGUAACGGCUUACCAAGGCGACGAUCAUUAGGGGUUCUGAGAGGAAGGUCCCCCACACUGGUACUGAGACACGGACCAGACUCCUACGGGAGGCAGCAGUGAGGAAUAUUGGUCAAUGGGCGCAAGCCUGAACCAGCCAUGCCGCGUGCAAGGAAGACGGCCUUAUGGGUUGUAAACUGCUUUUACAUAAGACUAACCGUAUAUUUGCGAAUAUACCUGAAUGUAUUAUGAGAAUAAGGAUCGGCUAACUCCGUGCCAGCAGCCGC
Molecule: ribosomal RNA, 503 nt
Filed under: uncultured bacterium
Lineage: Bacteria
Description: bacterial SSU rRNA
Rfam family: Bacterial small subunit ribosomal RNA
Source: RNAcentral